AACGAACGCUGGCGGCGUGCCUAACACAUGCAAGUCGAUCGAGACCUUCGGGUCUAGUGGCGCACGGGUGCGUAACGCGUGGGAACCUGCCCUUAGGUUCGGAAUAACUCCCCGAAAGGGGUGCUAAUACCGGAUAAUGUCUUCGGACCAAAGAUUUAUCGCCUUUGGAUGGGCCCGCGUUGGAUUAGCUAGUUGGUAGGGUAAAAGCCUACCAAGGCGACGAUCCAUAGCUGGUCUGAGAGGAUGAUCAGCCACACUGGGACUGAGACACGGCCCAGACUCCUACGGGAGGCAGCAGUGGGGAAUAUUGGACAAUGGGCGAAAGCCUGAUCCAGCAAUGCCGCGUGAGUGAUGAAGGCCUUAGGGUUGUAAAGCUCUUUUACCCGGGAUGAUAAUGACAGUACCGGGAGAAUAAGCUCCGGCUAACUCCGUG
RNAcentral lists this ribosomal RNA (433 nucleotides) under uncultured bacterium. RNAcentral's name for it is "partial 16S ribosomal RNA". It matches the Rfam family "Bacterial small subunit ribosomal RNA", at positions 29 to 507 of the family's 1533-position model. The record is from RNAcentral.